AUUGAACGCUGGCGGCAGGCCUAACACAUGCAAGUCGAACGGUAACAGGAAGAAGCUUGCUUCUUUGCUGACGAGUGGCGGACGGGUGAGUAAUGUCUGGGAAACUGCCUGAUGGAGGGGGAUAACUACUGGAAACGGUAGCUAAUACCGCAUAACGUCGCAAGACCAAAGAGGGGGACCUUCGGGCCUCUUGCCAUCGGAUGUUCCCAGAUGGGAUUAGCUAGUAGGUGGGGUAACGGCUCACCUAGGCGACGAUCCCUAGCUGGUCUGAGAGGAUGACCAGCCACACUGGAACUGAGACACGGUCCAGACUCCUACGGGAGGCAGCAGUGGGGAAUAUUGCACAAUGGGCGCAAGCCUGAUGCAGCCAUGCCGCGUGUAUGAAGAGGGCCUUCGGGUUGUAAAGUACUUUCAGCGGGGAGGAAGGGAGUAAAGUUAAUACCUUUGCUCAUUGACGUUACCCGCAGAAGAAGCACCGGCUAACUCCGUG
RNAcentral lists this ribosomal RNA (490 nucleotides) under uncultured bacterium. RNAcentral's name for it is "partial 16S ribosomal RNA". It matches the Rfam family "Bacterial small subunit ribosomal RNA", at positions 30 to 507 of the family's 1533-position model. The record is from RNAcentral.